This 1084-nucleotide long non-coding RNA is filed under the name Monodelphis domestica (gray short-tailed opossum). RNAcentral's name for it is "lncRNA (ENSMODG00000031716.2)". The record is from RNAcentral. Lineage: Eukaryota; Metazoa; Chordata; Mammalia; Didelphimorphia; Didelphidae.
GACGCUUCCACACUAUGGUCUGGUCUCCUUGCGGCAAUAUUGCGUCAAAAUAGGCUCGGUGUGAUACAUGGCACAGACGAAUUGCUCUUGGGGAGCGACAUUGCUUAGAUGUACCUCUUUUGUUUAGGCGACUGUAUUUUUCGGCAAAAAAUGAGGGUAGUGGAGGGCAAGAGAAUAGCCAUCAGGAAAAACUGGAAAGCCAUAGGGAGACUAAACCAUAGUAGUUUUCUCUACUGGGUGAUGCUAGUGUGGAUACCAAGUGUAAAUUUGAGUUAUUCCGUUCCUUUUUCUUUAAAAAAAGUCUAGUUUAAUUAUCCCCUUCCCCUUGUUAUAAAAGAGGGAUGCCAAGAUUCGGCACCUUAAAAAAAAAAGGAGGGGAAAUGGAAAUCUUUCUGUUGGUAUCUCGUUUUGCUGACAUCACAACGUGUUUGGCGUUCAAGUCCACUGCCGGGCAAAACUCAAAUAAUUUUUUUUCCUUGCUAGCAGCUGCACAGUUAGUUUGCCUUUACAUUACUAAAGGAACAAUAAAAUGAAAGGCAAAACCGGCAUCUAAAACAUGGCCAAUGAAAGGAAGUUGGAAUGGGAGCCAAGAAUCCUGCUGUGGUGGAAGGAGGAUAGACUCCAUGAAUCCACCACAAUCCGGGAUUUCGCUUCUUUUUAACAAUCCCAUCUGCAGAGAGAAAUAAUGACUCCUGAAUCAUUUCAGAGUCAAAAAGUUAAAGCGGGGGCUGGAUGGUGCUACGCGGGUCCAGCUAUGGGCGAUUUUGAAGAUCUUGGCCUAGCAAGAUGGCAGCGGGUUUUAAAAUGGGAUUCCCACGAAGUUAACACUUUUUCAGUGCAGAAGUAUGAACUUCCCAAGAAGAGGUUCUUGUGGGUGACUGAUAGAAUCAGUUCUCUUCUUGCUGACCUGCCAGUGUCUGUCCUGAGCCUUCUGAUGUCUCCCUGGAGAAAUGGCUCUGAUACCAUUAAUGGCGCAAACACCAUGGAGACAAAUAGAUCUCUCUUUAUUCAGGAGGCUUUGAAUGAAGAAAAAAUAUAUAUUACAUCUUCACAACACGAGUGCCUUUUCUAUAUGGCACAUUAA